RNAcentral lists this ribosomal RNA (826 nucleotides) under uncultured bacterium. RNAcentral's name for it is "bacterial SSU rRNA". It matches the Rfam family "Bacterial small subunit ribosomal RNA", at positions 26 to 833 of the family's 1533-position model. The record is from RNAcentral.
GAUUGAAAGCUAGGCGGGAUGGUUUUCCCCAUGCAAAUUGGAACGGCAAGCACGAAGGAAAGUUUUAUUUUUUUGGUGGCGGAGUGGCGGACGGGUGAGUUAAUGUUUCGGAACGUGCCCCGUAGUGGGGGAUAAAUACGCGAAAGCGUAGCUAAUACCGCAUAUUCUUUUUGGAGGAAAGGGGGGGAUCAUUUGACCUCUCGCUAUUGGAGCGGCCGAUAUCAGAUUAGUUAGUUGGUGGGGUAACGGCCUACCAAGGCAGUGAUCUGUAGCUGGUUUGAGAGGACGACCAGCCACACUGGGACUGAGACACGGCCCAGACUCCUACGGGAGGCAGCAGUGGGGAAUUUUCGACAAUGGGGGAAACCCUGAUCGAGCCAUCCCGCGUGUGGGACGAAGGCCUUCGGGUUGUAAACCACUUUUCUUAGCGAAGAAAAGUCUUAGGCUAAUACCUUAAGACGCUGACGGUAGCUAAGGAAUAAGCAUCGGCUAACUACGUGCCAGCAGCCGCGGUAAUACGUAGGAUGCAAGCGUUAAUCGGAAUUACUGGGCGUAAAGGGUGCGCAGGCGGCUUGGAAAGAACGGUGUGAAAUCCCGGGGCUCAACCCCGGAACUGCACUAUUAACUAUCAAGCUAGAGUAUGUCAGAGGGGGGUGGAAUUCCGCGUGUAGCAGUGAAAUGCGUAGAUAUGCGGAGGAACACCAAUGGCGAAGGCAGGUUACUGGGCCACCACUGACGCUGAGGAGCGAAAGCGUGGGUAGCGAACAGGAUUAGAUACCCUGGUAGUCCACGCCGUAAACGUUGGGCACUAGGUGUGGGGCCUUUC